RNAcentral lists this ribosomal RNA (512 nucleotides) under uncultured bacterium. RNAcentral describes it as "bacterial SSU rRNA". It matches the Rfam family "Bacterial small subunit ribosomal RNA", at positions 46 to 542 of the family's 1533-position model. The record is from RNAcentral.
GCCUAACACAUGCAAGUCGAACGGCAGCACAGGAGAGCUUGCUCUCUGGGUGGCGAGUGGCGGACGGGUGAGUGAAUACAUCGGAAUCUACUUUUUCGUGGGGGAUAACGUAGGGAAACUUACGCUAAUACCGCAUACGACCUACGGGUGAAAGCAGGGGAUCUUCGGACCUUGCGCGAUUGAAUGAGCCGAUGUCGGAUUAGCUAGUUGGCGGGGUAAAGGCCCACCAAGGCGACGAUCCGUAGCUGGUCUGAGAGGAUGAUCAGCCACACUGGAACUGAGACACAGGUCCAGACUCCUACGGGAGGCAGCAGUGGGGAAUAUUGGACAAUGGGCGCAAGCCUGAUCCAGCCAUACCGCGUGGGUGAAGAAGGCCUUCGGGAUUGUAAAGCCCUUUNGUUGGGAAAGAAAUCCAGCUGGCUAAUACCCGGUNUGGGAUGACGAGUACCCAAAGAAUAAGCACCGGCUAACUNCGUGCCAGCAGCCGCGGUAAUACGAAGGGUGCAAGCGUU